AACGUAGUAUGCACAAAAUUGAGAUGUUUCUCAUGCAAGAUAUGCCUCAACUAUAGAGCCUUCCACCAUAUAUUUAUUUUAGGUCCCCUUUUCAAUUUUUCAAUUGUCCUGCAUAAUUUUAAGAUUAGGUGUUUACUAUAUAAAAAUAUAUGUAUGAUUUGAAGAAUUAUUUAAUAAAUUAAAUGUUGCAAUUGUUUACUACUCGCCUGAAUGCAUCCACCUAGUUUGAAUUAGACCGCCUAACUGAGCUUCGUGGACAAGGUGAAUGGGAAGAUGUUCCAUCACAUCAAAGAACUCAAGUUGAAAAAUCUUCUCCAACUUGUUGGUGAUAACAAAAUAUUAUUUUCCAUUCGAGCCUGAUUUUCUUCCUUUAAUUUGGUGGAACAUAAGUCUUUAAACUGUUAUCGAUUUUCAUAUGUUUUCAGGCAAACCAAUAAAAGCAAUUGGAAGUAAUUGUUCCAUAAAAACCUAACAAUCAUGGCUUUUUAUUCAAUGUAAGAUACCUUAUGACAUAUCAACCCUCUUUCUCAAAUUUAAGACAUAUUCAUCGAGCAUCUUUAAACUUUGGACCCACUCAUAUAUUUUUUUAUUUUGGUCCAACUUGAAUGUAUAACUAGCCUUGGGCUUAAGAAAAUUAUCAUUUGUCCCCUCUUACAAGUGUAAUUCCCUAUACUUGCAAUAUUCUAGUAAAUCAAGUCUAGCCUUAGGAUUAUCCUGUCUUGCCUGUAAUAUCUAUAACUGUGUUAAACAAGUUAUCAAAAUAGUUCUUCUCAGUAUGCAUGACAUCAAUAUUAAGUCUAAGUAAAUUAUCUGUCCAAUAUUCUAACUCCCAAAAUAUACUUUGCUUAGUCCAAUUAUGCGAAACGUCAUAUCUAUCAAACAUAUACAUUGGUUCCUCGCUAACUUUUGGAGAAUCCUGAACUAUCUCCCAAAUGUCAUGACUAUAUAACUUUGGAGGUGGACCAUCAUGUUCAGUUCUAUUCUUUCUGAAUGCGUUCUUGAGUUUGCUAAACUCAUGAUUAGGUGGCAAGAAACACCAAUGACUAUCAAAGCAUGAAUUUUUCCUACCAUGUCUCAAUGUGAAAUAUUUCGUAUUUUCCAUGCAAUAUGGACAGGUCAACUUUUCAGCUGUCAUCUACCCAGAAAAUAUUCCAUAAGCAAGGAAAUUAUUAAUAAUCUACAUUAUAUAUGCAUGCAAAUUAAAAUUCUAUUUAAGUGAAAUGUCUCAAGUUUCAACCCCCUCAUGCCAUAAAAUUUGUAGUUCAUCAAUCAAAGGUUUCAAAUAAACAUCUAUUCCUCUUUUUAAAUUACGCGGGCCAGGAAUAACACAAUUUAGAAAUAUAUAUAGACUAGUCAUCAACAUUUAAGGAGGAACAUUAUACGGGGUAAUAAAUACAGGCCAACAUGAAUAUGGCACAACACUAACAGAAAAAGGUGAGAAACCACCGGCACAUAAUCCCAAUCAAAUAUUUUGUGGCUCAGCUACAUAAUCUGGAUAAGUUGUAUCAAAAUACUUCCAAGCCUCUCCAUCAGAUGGAUGAAACAUAACACCAGUGGGCCUUCUAUUUUCACUGUACCAUCCCAUAUGAGGAGAUGAUUUGUUUGAAGCAUACAACCUCUUCAACCUUGAUAUUAGAGGUAAAUAAUACAUCGCCUUAAUAGCAAUUUUAUUUCUACGACAACUACGCUUAUAGUGAGGGUGUUGACAAAACUUACAGGACUCUAGGUUAGCAUCUUCCUUAAAGUAUAACAUGCAACCAUUUUCACAACAAUCAAUUCUAAUCGAGGAGAGACCUCUACACUUGCAAUAUUCUAGUAAAUCAAGUCUAGCCUUAGGAUUAUCCUGUCUUGCCUGUAAUAUCUAUAACUGUGUUAAACAAGUUAUCAAAAUAGUUCUUCUCAGUAUGCAUGACAUCAAUAUUAAGUCUAAGUAAAUUAUCUGUCCAAUAUUCUAACUCCCAAAAUAUACUUUGCUUAGUCCAAUUAUGCGAAACGUCAUAUCUAUCAAACAUAUACAUUGGUUCCUCGCUAACUUUUGGAGAAUCCUGAACUAUCUCCCAAAUGUCAUGACUAUAUAACUUUGGAGGUGGACCAUCAUGUUCAGUUCUAUUCUUUCUGAAUGCGUUCUUGAGUUUGCUAAACUCAUGAUUAGGUGGCAAGAAACACCAAUGACUAUCAAAGCAUGAAUUUUUCCUACCAUGUCUCAAUGUGAAAUAUUUUGUAUUUUCCAUGCAGUAUGGACAGGCCAACUUUUCAGUUGUCAUCUACCCAGACAACAUUCCAUAAGCAAGGAAAUUAUUAAUAAUCUACAUUAUAUAUGCAUGCAAAUUACAAUUCUGUUUAAGUGAAAUGUCUCAAGUUUCAGCCCCCUCAUGCCUUAAAAUUUGUAGUUCAUCAAUCAAAGGUUUCAAAUAAACAUCUAUUCCUCUUUUUAAAUUACGCGGGCCGGGAAUGACACAAUUUAGAAAUAUAUAUAGACUAGUCAUCAACAUUUAAGGAGGAACAUUAUAUGGGGUAAUAAAUACAGGCCAACAUGAAUAUGGCACAACACCAACAGAAAAAGGUGAGAAACCACCGGCACAUAAUCCCAAUCAAAUAUUUUGUGGCUCAACUACAUAAUCUGGAUAAGUUGUAUCAAAAUACUUCCAAGCCUCUCCAUCAGAUGGAUGAAACAUAACACCAGUGGGCCUUCUAUUUUCACUGUAUCAUCCCAUAUGAGGAGAUGAUUUGUUUGAAGCAUACAACCUCUUCAACCUUGAUAUUAGAGGUAAAUAAUACAUCUCCUUAAUAGCAAUUUUAUUUCUACGACAACUACGCCUCACUUUGAGGGUGUUGAUAAAACUUACAGGACUCUAGGUUAGCAUCUUCCUUAAAGUAUAACAUGCAACCAUUUUCACAACAAUCAAUUCUAAUCGAGGAGAGACCUAGCUUUGACACCAUUCGUUUUCCUGAUAGAAAGAAUCAGGACCCUCUAAAGCGCGGUCAGCUAACUCUUUAAUAAGGUCUAUCAUUGAGUCCAUUCCUCCUUCAGCAAUAUUCCAAUCAGAUUUAAUACUUAAUAAUCUAACAACAAUAGACAAUCGAGAGUGCGAACACCCGUCAAACAAAGGAUGACUAAAAACACCCAAUUGUUCAUAAAAUCGGUGUAACAUCAUUCACCAUUUCUUCCAUCCUAGUACUUGAUAGUUAUUAUGCCUACAAACCUACUACUUUUACCAACAACAAAGUUAUAUUGCCCAACACCACCAUGACUAGUACGCAAUCUUAAAAAGUCCUCAUGAAACCUGUUUCUAUAAAGAUGAUCCUUCACAACUUUUUCUUUUAGAAUGCUUGUACCAUCACAUUUAACACAAGGACAACAAAUCGCCCGAAAAAGUGACCAAUCAUUAAGUGUUUUGGCAUGUUCAAUAAAUCGAUUGACACCUUCAACAAAUUCCACUCUAAGACCCAUUCUAUUAUCAUUAUUUCGUCGAUAUAUCCAGCUAUAAUCAGGUUCCAUCUACACAAUCAAUCACAUUCAAGUAAUUAGUUCAAGUCACAAAAGUUCACAUUUUCAAGUCACUAAUUCACUUCUCAAGUGAUGAUGUACUUUACUAAAUUCAAAAUGAAAAGUCCACAUUCAAAUACCUAUACUUAAAACAUUUUCAAGUCACUAAUUCACUUCUCAAGUGACCACACCUUACUAAAUUCAAAACAAAAGUUCACCUUUCAAGUAAAUACACCUAAACAUUUCAAGUCACUAAUUCACUUCACAAGUUACCAAACUUAACUAAAUUCAAAAUAAAAGUUCACCUUUCAAGUAGCUACACUUAAACAUUUUCAAGUCACUAAUUCACUUCUCAUGUGACACCCUUCACUAAAUUCAAAACAAAAGUUCACAUUUCAAUUACCUACACUUAAACAUUUUUAAGUCACUAAUUCACUUCUCAAGCGAUCACACUUUACUAAAUUCGAAACAAAAGUUCACCUUUCAAGUACCUAAAUUCAAAACACGUCACUAAUUCAUAAUUCAAGUAACUACACCUAAACAUUCCAAGUCACUAAUUCAUUUCACAGGUUACCAAACUUACUCAAUUCAAAACAAAUGUUUACCUUUCAAGUACCUAAAUUCAAAACACAAGACACUAAUUCAUAAUUAAAGUAACUACACGUAAAGAUUUCAAGUCACUAAUUCACUUCUCAAGUGACCACACUUUAGUAAAUUCAAAACACAAGACACUAAUUCAUAAUUAAAGUAACUACACGUAAAGAUUUCAAGUCACUAAUUCACUUCUCAAGUGACCACACUUUAGUAAAUUCAAAACACAAGACACUAAUUCAUAAUUAAAGUAACUACACGUAAAGAUUUCAAGUCACUAAUUCACUUCUCAAGUGACCACACUUUAGUAAAUUCAAAACACAAGACACUAAUUCAUAAUUAAAGUAACUACACGUAAAGAUUUCAAGUCACUAAUUCACUUCUCAAGUGACCACACUUUAGUAAAUUCAAAACACAAGUUCACAUUUCAAGUCACUACACUUGAUCACUUUCAAGUAACUGAUUUAUUUAUCUUAUAAGUCAAACAAUUGAAUAAGUUUAACAAAGCAAAUAAAUAGAGGCGUCGCAUGUCCCUCUCGCACCAUAUAAUCAUCACAAAAUUCCUAUGGCUUUCAAAGCCUUCUACAACGUACAAUCCCACCUUAAUACUACAUUUAAAGACUUCAUUAUACAAAAAUAGAGAGAAAUCAACUCACCUUUGUUUGGCCUAAAUUUACAAGAAAGAGACAAGCGAUCACCAAAAAAUAGCAAAGCAAUACUUUUUCCGAAUUCGGAUUCUGUCAAACAACAACAUCAACUUACUUGCUACUUCACAUCAAAGGGCAUAAAUUAGGAUAGGCCAUGUUUAAAUAGACAAGAAGCAAUUCAAAAUCCCCAACAACACAACCUAUAUAGUCAAAUCCUCUAUAAAAUUACUACUACUUCACAACCCAAUCAGUGCAUUAUCACUAUCUCUAUACAGUCAAAAGUCAAUAUAUCUUCAAAUAUCAAUAUAUCUUCAAAUCAUAUUUGGAGACAGUCAAUGCCUCACCACACUAAACCAAGAUUUGAUUUUUACAAUUGAGAAAUCAAGAAAUGGACUUGCUUUCUCAAGAAACUUCACAAAUAGGCCCAAAAUUUCGUGUUUUAAUUCUUUACUAGUGAAAACAAGAAUGAACUAACACCCCACAAGGCAAAAUUAGUUCUUUUCAGCAUAAGAGAUCAAAUAGACAGUGAUUUUCUUGAAAUCACCAGGAAAACUCAAGAAACCAGAUACCCAAAAAUUAAGCCAAAAAUAAUGUUACUGCAAAAAUCAGCUGAAAAAUACAUGUUGUCGUCCGUGAGACAUACUAUUGUGAGUUACUGUGGUCACUGAGACGAGGUUGUUACUGUCGUGGUUGAGACGAUGAUGUUGCUGUUAUGUCUGAGACAACGAUGUCGCUGUCGUCGGUGACUGAGGUCGCUGACUUGCUGCCGUCGGUGACUAAGGUCACUGUUGUCGGUGACUGAGGUCACCAUCGUCGUGGCUGAGACGAUGAUUUUGCUGUCGUGGUUGAGACGACGAUGUCGCUAUCAUCACUUACUAAGGUCGCAGACUUGCUGCUGUCGGUGACUGAGGUCGCUGUCGUCGAUGGGAGAUUGGGUUGGUGAGCUGAGGGUAGUUGUAAGGGUAUUCUGAUUAGGCUAAUUAGAAAGGAAUUUCGGAAUUGAGUCCGACUGGGUCAAUAAUUGGGUAUUACAAAAUUGUUGACAAAAUUAAU
This 5778-nucleotide long non-coding RNA is filed under the name Capsicum annuum. RNAcentral's name for it is "long non-coding RNA (CANN_LNC007441)". The record is from RNAcentral. Lineage: Eukaryota; Viridiplantae; Streptophyta; Magnoliopsida; Solanales; Solanaceae.